This 455-nucleotide unclassified non-coding RNA is filed under the name Hevea brasiliensis (rubber tree). Lineage: Eukaryota; Viridiplantae; Streptophyta; Magnoliopsida; Malpighiales; Euphorbiaceae. The record is from RNAcentral.
AGAGAGUCAGAGACCAACAUGCUUUAGUAAUCCUGAUUAUCUAUCUACACCAACACAUGUAAAAUAAUUGAAGAGUCCUAAAUCCCAACCUCCAAAUAUAUAAAAAUAAGAAAGGGGAAAAUCAGACUGUCUUUUGCCAGAAUAGAGGAACAAAAAGAAACAUUCAACACACAAACUGAUGACGAUUCACAGAAGUGACGACCGGGAUAGAGGAACAAGCCCACCGUAAUCUCACCAAGCUUUGAUUUCAUUCCCAGCAGGCACCACUACAAUAUGAAGAGCGUUUAUCUUUUUUCGCUCUUUUGAUCAGUUUGAUCUUCUUGUACCAUUUUACGAGCCACAGCAAGCUGACUUUUGGGCGGCUUGACCAUCCCCGGCUGCUGCAUCUGGCUUGUUUAUUUUGAUUGUUUGAGGCUCUGCCUUCGAAUCAGUGUCUGCGAGCCUUUGCUUGAUGU